Molecule: small RNA, 339 nt
Filed under: Arabidopsis thaliana (thale cress)
Lineage: Eukaryota; Viridiplantae; Streptophyta; Magnoliopsida; Brassicales; Brassicaceae
Description: ATSL266870
Source: RNAcentral
UUAUUACUCAAUGAUACACAUGACAUCAAGUCAUAUUUGACUCCAAAACACUAACCAAGUUUCUUCUUGCUUCUCAAACAAAGCGUUGAUGGUGUAGCUGAAGUCCGUAUGAGUCUUUGGCUUUGUAUCUUCUAACAAGGAAACACUACUUGGUUUUAGACAUUCAGUUGCGGUUUAAGUUCUUAUACUCAAUCAUACACAUGACAUCUAGUCGUAUUUGACUCCUAGAAACUAACCAAGCUUCUUCUUGCUUCUCAAAGCUUUGAUGGUGUAGCCGUAGUCCGUAUGAAUCUUUAUCUUUGUAUCUUCUAACAGGAUACAAUACUAAGGCUUUUAAUA